CCUACGGGUGGCUGCAGUCGAGAAUCAUUCACAAUGGGGGAAACCCUGAUGGUGCGACGCCGCGUGGGGGAAUGAAGGUCUUCGGAUUGUAAACCCCUGUCAUGUGGGAGCAAAUUAAAAAGAUAGUACCACAAGAGAAAGCAACGGCUAACUCGGUGCCAGCAGCCGCGGUAAUACAGAGGUCUCAAGCGUUGUUCGGAAUCACUGGGGGUAAAGGGUGCGUAGGCGGUUGCGUAAGUCGAGUGUGAAAGUGGCGGGCUCAACCCGCGGACCGCAUUUGAUACUGGGGGUCUUGAGUGAAAGAGAAGGAUGCGGAAUGCGCGGUGUAGCAGUGAAAUGCGUAGAUAUCGAGAAGAACACUCAUGGCGAAGGCAGGAUCCUGGACACCGACUGACGCUGAAGCACGAAGGCGUGGGGAUCGAACGGGAUUAGAUACCCUUGUAGUC
Molecule: ribosomal RNA, 446 nt
Filed under: uncultured bacterium
Lineage: Bacteria
Description: partial 16S ribosomal RNA
Rfam family: Bacterial small subunit ribosomal RNA
Source: RNAcentral